Drosophila melanogaster (fruit fly) is the source of this 809-nucleotide non-coding RNA. The record is from Ensembl. NCBI's taxonomy places the organism in Eukaryota, Metazoa, Arthropoda, Insecta, Diptera, Drosophilidae.
AGCAAUUCAACUAUUAAAAUUUAAUAUUAAAAUUUCCAUUUCCCAGCAUUACUGGCACAACACUGGCUCCAUCGCCUCCUCCGCCGGCAGGACCUUUGUGCCGCAUUCCUGCUGGCUCGUUUGCCCGAUUGUUCGAUGCGCCCAAAUGCAUUUCAAUUAAAACAUAUUUAAGGGCUUUAGCCGUCCGAAACUGCUGCCCAUUCCGCAUUGGACCCAUUCAUCAAGGGUUCAGGUGGCGCACAACAGGGUGAGGAUGUGGAACAGGAGCAAGAGCAGAGGAGGAAGAGGAGCAGUGGAGGCCAUCGAUUAUGUGGCAGCAUCUCGCUCGCUGUUAAUCAGCCGCUGCACCGGGCCAAUCGAUUAAAUGGGCGACAGAACAGCCGGGUCCUUCAUGUCAAUGGGCCACCAUGGUCGUGCAUCCUCCAAAGGCUCGGCAAGCAAAGUGCCCGGGAGGGAGGCAGGGAAGUGCGGCAUGGGAUCACGGGAUCAACUACCAGCUGUCGGAGUUAUUUAAUGAAAUGGACACCCUUCUCCCACAACCACACCGUCGGCAUUCCUCGCCAUCACAAAGUGUCCACCAUAUAAAAGGGGUUUCUUUGCAACGAAACGCUCUUGGCGAAAAAUCCCUUUUUGGCCCGGUUUUCCCGUCAUUAUUUUCAUAUUAAACCCGCGAACAAGGUGCCACACAGAAUCUAUACAUACUCGGCAAACAGGCAUUUUUGGAAAGUGAAGCCAAAUGAAAGUUUCGUGGGAUCGGGCAAAAGCCCCCACCACAAAUUUCGAAACAUUGAAGCUAGGAAAUAUCAAGG